Molecule: long non-coding RNA, 489 nt
Filed under: Anser cygnoides (Swan goose)
Lineage: Eukaryota; Metazoa; Chordata; Aves; Anseriformes; Anatidae
Description: lncRNA (ENSACDG00005013579.1)
Source: RNAcentral
CCUGGUGUUAGGCCUGCAUUGCAUAUAUUUAAGGUCGUGAUAGUGUUUUCCCUUGAAGUAUAUCUGGCAGAUGUGGUUUUGGUAUGAAAUGGGACCAAGCUGGAGAAUGACUUUGUUCUGAAGUUCUAGGAAGACACGCUGCACUUGACAACAUAUUAAGCUAUUUAAGACCAAAGCUGAAGGGGAAGCCUUUAUGGUUUUCCCAGACGACAUCAGCUUCAGAGCUCUCCACGCUAGAGCUGCUGGCAACUCUGACAAAGUUAAUUCUUCAGUAAAUCUGGGAAGGAUGUGUCACCCCAGAUUUGAUACAGGAAUCUGGAACUGUUUAGAGCCAAUCUCCUACAGCCUGUGAAUCCAUUAAGACAGUUGGACCUUCAUGAAAGGUUUCUGAUAAGAUCGCAGCCUGAAAUAGAAGGAGUGGCAAGAGAAGAAUGAUCAUGUGACUAGAAGUGAAAAUAUUCCUCUGAAUAAACGUAGUACCAGUACUCA